AUGUCUCAGCUGGGACUGGGGUUGCAGUGUUUUGGUUGCAAGGAGUUUUUUGAGCACCUACAUUGCUGCCAAAAGUUUGGGCUACAUCUGUGGUGCUGCCUCUGUAAGUGUCGACCGUGGUCACUGCUGCCUCCCACGGAUCACUGCCCAGGCCUGUUGGUCAUCCAUGUACGACCAUAUCAUCCCUUUCUGGGACCGGGUUGCCCUACAUCCUGUGCCAUGGCAUGGACUGAGUGGAGCUGAGAAACAGAAGAACCACUGCUGCUGUGGCUAAGUCGCUUCAGUCGUGUCCGACUCUGUGCGACCCAUAGACAGCAGCCCACCAGGCUCCCCCAUCCCUGGGAUUCUCCAGGCAAGAACACUGGGGUGGGUUGCCAUUUCCUUCUCCAAUGCGUGAAAGUGAAAAGUGAAAGUGAAGUCGCUUGGUCGUGUCCGACCCUCAGCGACCCCAUGGACUGCAGCCUUCCAGCCUCCUCUGUCCAUGGGAUUUUCCAGGCAAGAGUACUGGAGUGGGGUGCCAUUGCCUUCUCCAACAAGAACCACAGAUGAUUCCAAAGCAUGUUGUUAACAACAGUUCCUUUACUGACUGUGGUAUCUUCUCUGCUUAUUUUUUCAGACACUCUAAGAAGUCGUCUAUUUAUCUUUGAUAGUAAAUAACUAAGAGGAAAAUGAGCUUAUCUUCGUCAAGUGCUCAAGUGCUACUGAAUUAUUGAGGAGUGUCGUGGCUCUAUAUGUAGAGGACAGUUGUACUUACAUAAUUUGUACAGUUAUAGUUACAUAUAGAUAUGCAAUUAUCUAUCAUAAACAAAAAAAGCUAUUUUCUGUGUAGGGAAACUUUUAUCCUUAAAUAUAAUAUGAGCUUUGAUGAUAUUGAAUGCAUUUCAAAAACUGUAACUGAAACUGCAUAGUAAAGAUGUGACUAAAGUUUCUGGUUUCUUUGUUGUCCAUUUUCAUAAGACUUUUCCUAAACACCAUCUGGGAUAUUCCUAGGUGGCUCAGUGGUAGGAGGUGCAGAUUCAAUCCCUGGGUCGGGAAGAGCCCCUUGAGGAAGAAAUGGCAAUCCUUUUCAGUAUCCUUGCCUGGAAAAUUCCAUGGACAGAGGAGCCUGGCGGGCUACAGUCCAUGGGGUCCCAAAGAGUCAGAUAUGACUAAGGAGCUGAGCACACACACCCUGAAGCACCCCAUGAACAGGGCUACCAUCUAUAACAUCUUUGGAAGAAUUUGCAGUUCACAGUUCUUAAUUGAAAAGAGUGUUUACUCUAAUUUAUCUGUUCUUGGGCACUAAAAAUGUUUAAAGCUUUAUAAUGUAAAGCUUAUAAUUUUAACCAUUUGUAAGUGGACAGUUGUGUGACAUGGUGUAUUUUCACACUGUUGAGCAAUCGUCACCUCAUCCAUCUCCUGAACAUUUUUCUCUUCCCAGCUGAAACCCCAUAACCAUUAGCAUUAACUUCCCACCCCCAUGCUCACUGCAUACCCUGACAAUCAUCUGUCUACUUUGUGUCUCCAUGAACUCGAGUACUCUCUGUAACUCAUAUAAGCAGAAUCAUGAUAUUUAUCCUUUUGUGGCUGAUUUAUUUCACUUAGCAUGGUGUCUUCAUGCUCAUCCAUGUAGUAGCAUGUGUCAGAAUUUUCUUCCCUUUUAAGACUGAACAAUAUUUCAUUGGUUAUGUAUACUGUGUUUUGUUUAUUCAUUUACUUUGGACUCCUGUAUUAAUUCCACCUUUUGGCUAUUGUGAAUAAUGCUGCUAUUGAUAUGGGUGUACAAAUAUUAGCUUGGAUAUCUGCUUUUAAUCCUUUUAAUUUAACUUUAAUAACCACAAGUGGAAUUUCUGGAUCACAGGGAAAUUCCAGUUUUAAUUUUUUGAGUACUCACCAUACCAUUUUCCACAGUAGUUACACCAUUUUGCAUUCCCACCAGUAAUACACUAAGGUUUCAGUUUCUUUAUAUUUUUAAUAACCCUUGUGACUUUGUUUUUUUUUUUUUAAUAAAAAUUGUGCUCAUGAGUGUAAAAGGGUAUUU
This 2020-nucleotide long non-coding RNA is filed under the name Bos indicus x Bos taurus (hybrid cattle). RNAcentral describes it as "lncRNA (ENSBIXG00005005027.1)". The record is from RNAcentral. Lineage: Eukaryota; Metazoa; Chordata; Mammalia; Artiodactyla; Bovidae.